This 164-nucleotide ribosomal RNA is filed under the name Allium haneltii. RNAcentral describes it as "5.8S ribosomal RNA". It matches the Rfam family "5.8S ribosomal RNA". From Rfam's summary of the family: 5.8S ribosomal RNA (5.8S rRNA) is a component of the large subunit of the eukaryotic ribosome. Lineage: Eukaryota; Viridiplantae; Streptophyta; Magnoliopsida; Asparagales; Amaryllidaceae. The record is from RNAcentral.
CGAAUGACUCCUGGCAAUGGAUAUCUUGGCUCUCGCGUCGAUGAAGAACGUAGCGAAAUGCGACACUUGGUGUGAAUUGCAGAAUCCCGUGAACCAUCGAGUCUUUGAAUGCAAGUUGCGCUCGAGGCCGCUAGGUCGAGAGCACGUCUGUUUGGGUGUCAUGC